CUGUAAUAUGUUUCACGUGUAAUAUUUUGAAACCUUUUGUGUGUGCAUGUGUGUGUGUGUGUGUGUGUGUGUGUGUGUGUGUGGUUUUUAACUAGAGGACGACGGAGUCCUUUUGAUGAAAUGGACUCUUGGGAUUUGUCUUAUAAUAAGGUGCAUGAGACUGAGUUUAGUAGGCAGGGAAAUAUUUCUCCUGCCUCGCUAGUGCCUGUUUAUUCUUCCCUUAUAAAAAAACCAAAGGGCUAGCAAUUUUCUUUUAUGAACGUAGACUGUAGGGAGAUAAGUAGCCCUUGCAGGAGAGGAAGGUCAAGUUCAAAGUUUUUCUUUCCUUUGGAUUCAGGAAUAAGCAAAUGGAAAGCCUGGCCAAACAACUGAGCAGCAGGCAUCUGAUGGUUAAGCCCUCCCCCCCAGGACUUUUUAUGUACAUAAGCAGAAGUCACUCGAGCAGCUGCGGCGCAUUAGUUCCAAUAGUUUAACAGGCUGCUUUGUAGCGCUGACAAAAGCCGCCAGCGCUGUGGCUUCCCUCCAUGUUCCUCUGCCUUGUGAGCUCGUCAGUGAUCUUUGGCAGGGGCUCGGGAGAGGACGGUGACGUUGAACAGGCUUCCGCAGGGGGUGCGCUCGCCUGGUCGACACGCAGCCCCGUCUCCACCGAGAGAUUGAGGCCGAAUGAACUAACAGCAGCUGGAUCCGACCUGCUUUCCCGGACAUUUCCCAGACUCGGGAGCAAGCGAGGGAAUCACUGGAAAGAGGCCAGGCAACCACGUUGCCCUGGAUUUUUGCCAACUGUACAAAGUUGACCAGGAAAAUGGCUCAGCAGACCACAAGCCCGGACACCUUAACAGUACCUGAAGUGGAUAAUCCGCAUGGUCCCAACCCAUGGCUGAAUGAGGAUCUUGUGAAAUCCUUGCGGGAAAACCUGUUGCAGCAUGAGAAGUCCAAGACAGCGAGGAAAUCCGUUUCUCCCAAGCUCUCCCCAGUGAUUUCUCCGAGAAAUUCCCCCAGGCUCCUGCGCAGGAUGCUUCUCAGUAGCAACAUCCCCAAACAGCGUCGUUUCACCGUGGCACAUACAUGGUAAGUACAUCCCAUUUUUUGAAGCUUUUGCAGAUGGGUAAGUCUUGCUGCUGGAGCUUUACAUGUUGAUUUUCAUACUUGGAGAAUCUGAACUGGACAGUGUACUUGUUGCAGUCAGAUGUAUGCCUUUAUGAUUUUCAAGCCAGGAUCUGGAAAGAGGACAGAGCUUCGCAUGUGCUUUCCAUCUCUGUUUCAAAUCU
RNAcentral lists this long non-coding RNA (1268 nucleotides) under Ictidomys tridecemlineatus (thirteen-lined ground squirrel). RNAcentral describes it as "lncRNA (ENSSTOG00000029553.1)". Lineage: Eukaryota; Metazoa; Chordata; Mammalia; Rodentia; Sciuridae. The record is from RNAcentral.